GAUGAAGAACGUAGCGAAAUGCGAUAAGUAGUGUGAAUUGCAGAAUUCAGUGAAUCAUCGAAUCUUUGAACGCACAUUGCGCCCCUUGGUAUUCCAUGGGGCAUGCCUGUUCGAGCGUCAUCUACACCCUCAAGCUCUGCUUGGUGUUGGGCGUCUGUCCCGCCUCUGCGCGCGGACUCGCCUCAAAAUCAUUGGCAGCGGUCCUUGCCUCCUCUCGCGCAGCACAUUGCGUUUCUUGAGGGGCGCGGGUCGCGUCCACGAAGCAACAUUUCCGACUUUGACCUCGGAUCAGGUAGGGAUACCCGCUGAACUUAAGCAUAUCAAUAAGCGGAGGA
RNAcentral lists this unclassified non-coding RNA (335 nucleotides) under soil metagenome. Its description in RNAcentral is "partial contains 5.8S ribosomal RNA, internal transcribed spacer 2, and large subunit ribosomal RNA". The stretch from base 1 to 120 matches the Rfam family "5.8S ribosomal RNA", at positions 35 to 154 of the family's 154-position model. The record is from RNAcentral.